RNAcentral lists this ribosomal RNA (891 nucleotides) under Oceanobacillus sp. SCULCB HNA-20. RNAcentral describes it as "bacterial SSU rRNA". It matches the Rfam family "Bacterial small subunit ribosomal RNA", at positions 49 to 905 of the family's 1533-position model. Lineage: Bacteria; Bacillati; Bacillota; Bacilli; Caryophanales; Bacillaceae. The record is from RNAcentral.
UAAUACAUGCAAGUCGAGCGCAGGAAGUUAUCUGAUCCUCUUUUAGAGGUGACGAUAAUGGAAUGAGCGGCGGACGGGUGAGUAACACGUAGGCAACCUGCCUGUAAGACUGGGAUAACUCGUGGAAACGCGAGCUAAUACCGGAUAACACUUUUCAUCUCCUGAUGAUAAGUUGAAAGGCGGCUUUUGCUGUCACUUACAGAUGGGCCUGCGGCGCAUUAGCUAGUUGGUAAGGUAAUGGCUUACCAAGGCGACGAUGCGUAGCCGACCUGAGAGGGUGAUCGGCCACACUGGGACUGAGACACGGCCCAGACUCCUACGGGAGGCAGCAGUAGGGAAUCUUCCGCAAUGGACGAAAGUCUGACGGAGCAACGCCGCGUGAGUGAUGAAGGUUUUCGGAUCGUAAAACUCUGUUGUUAGGGAAGAACAAGUGCCAUAGUAACUGAUGGCACCUUGACGGUACCUAACCAGAAAGCCACGGCUAACUACGUGCCAGCAGCCGCGGUAAUACGUAGGUGGCAAGCGUUGUCCGGAAUUAUUGGGCGUAAAGCGCUCGCAGGCGGUUCUUUAAGUCUGAUGUGAAAUCUUACGGCUCAACCGUAAACGUGCAUUGGAAACUGGGGAACUUGAGUGCAGAAGAGGAGAGUGGAAUUCCACGUGUAGCGGUGAAAUGCGUAGAGAUGUGGAGGAACACCAGUGGCGAAGGCGACUCUCUGGUCUGUAACUGACGCUGAGGAGCGAAAGCGUGGGGAGCGAACAGGAUUAGAUACCCUGGUAGUCCACGCCGUAAACGAUGAGUGCUAGGUGUUAGGGGGUUUCCGCCCCUUAGUGCUGAAGUUAACGCAUUAAGCACUCCGCCUGGGGAGUACGGCCGCAAGGCUGAAACUCAAA